RNAcentral lists this ribosomal RNA (497 nucleotides) under uncultured bacterium. RNAcentral describes it as "partial 16S ribosomal RNA". It matches the Rfam family "Bacterial small subunit ribosomal RNA", at positions 28 to 507 of the family's 1533-position model. The record is from RNAcentral.
GAUGAACGCUGGCGGCGUGCCUAAUACAUGCAAGUCGAGCGAACAGACGAGGAGCUUGCUCCUCUGACGUUAGCGGCGGACGGGUGAGUAACACGUGGAUAACCUACCUAUAAGACUGGGAUAACUUCGGGAAACCGGAGCUAAUACCGGAUAAUAUAUUGAACCGCAUGGUUCAAUAGUGAAAGACGGUUUUGCUGUCACUUAUAGAUGGAUCCGCGCCGCAUUAGCUAGUUGGUAAGGUAACGGCUUACCAUGGCGACGAUGCGUAGCCGCCCUGAGAGGGAGGGCGGCCACACUGGAACUGGGACGCGGUCCAGACUCCUGCGGGAGGCAGCAGUAGGGAGUCUUCCGCAAUGGGCAAAAGCCUGAGGGAGCAUCGCCGCGUGAGUGAUGAAGGUGUUGCGAUCGUAAAACUCUUUUAUGAGGGAAAAACAAAUGUGUAAGGAACUAUGGACGUCUUGACGGUACCUAAUAAGAAAACAACGGCUAACUACGUG